ACUUUCAAAUCUGAAACUUGAUUUUAGACGUUUCCUUUUCGCUGUUGUUAUGGUGUGUUGUUAAAAUAUUGUGCUUUCAGAUUGAAACUGAGUCUUUGCCAUGUCUUUGCUUUGAUUUUGUAUUCUGAAUUCUGAUAGUGAUACCUAACUGCUUUUGUGACUUACCUUGCCCCGCGGACUACUAACUUCUUACGAUUUCGGAGUUGGCACUAUAUUAAACAAUGCCUCGUAGAUCGCGGUUGAAGUGCUAUUUCGGAUGUAUUAAUGAUAGCCCGCUGCAUCAUUUCCCUAACCCGAAAAGUGAAAAACUCGAAGACAUUGAAAAGUUUUCUGUAUGGCGAGCUGUGCUAGAUGUAGCAACACAAGAGAGAGGAAAUUCAUACAUCUAUAACCACAUAUUAUUUUGCAAUAAGCACUUUUGGGAAGGCUAUCAGCUGCCAAGCCGUCGCCUUACUAAAAAUGCUGUUCCAACAUUAAACUUAGGAAACAAAAGAUCAACCAUACUCACAGAUAAUGAAAGUAUGCCAUCUACUACAGAGCUGGAUCCUUUAGAAAUGCAACCAGCUAACCAAGAUGAGCAACCCUCAACAUCUACUAUCACAAUUCAACUAGAUAGAGUUCACAACCAGCUGAGCACCGUGGAAUCUGUGCCAGUGCAGCCUUCUAAUAUUACAAUUCAAAAAUAUCCCAUUGGGGGGCUGGUCGUCUGUCCAUCUUGUAACUCGGUUUAAUAAGUAAUGCUUAUGCUAUGGCGAAAUCAUUGGGUUUGAAGAUUUUGAAUAUGCAAGAAAACAAAAAUUACCAAUGGCCAAUGCAUUUGAAAUUGACAAUCGCAAAAUAUUUCCCCUGUUUGAUAUCCUGGAAGACGUAGACAGAGGGAAGACGGAAGAGAGGGACAGCCAUGGAUGAAUAGUAAAAAAUUGAUAUCCUGUGGAGAAAUGGAAUGGGCUAAAUGGGAACAAAUAAAAAUGUAAUUAUAUUAUGUUGAUUACAGAAAUGAUGUGAUAAGGUUAGUUAAUAAACUAAUAGAAAUUCCUGUAAAUAAGCAUAAAAUCCCAAAAAUGAAAGUAAAGUUCGCAGCAUAAGUAGUAGCCAGAGUGUGUUAAGUGCCUUGCAGUUUUUGUCAAAACUGCCAGAUUCUGCCAGACUUCUUCAUGCUCUUCGACAAGCUGUUUGACUCCUCCUAUGGUCGCUAUUACAAAGGAUCGCUAAAAAAAAUAUAAGCAAUGUUAAAAAUAUAACUCACCCCAUUUCCAGUGUUAAAUUCCAAUUUUAGAAUCAAUUCAAUUUGGAUCAAUAUUAAAAAAAGGAUUCUGUGUGGAUUUAGCAUGAGAGUAAUUGGGUACACAAUGUGAAAUUAUUUGAUUGUACGGUAUACAGGGGUGAACAUAAUCAUGUCGAACAGCAAUCAUAUGAUUAUUAUAGGAAGAAGAUAAUAAAAAUAAAUAAAU
Molecule: RNA transcript, 1451 nt
Organism: Colias croceus (clouded yellow)
Lineage: Eukaryota; Metazoa; Arthropoda; Insecta; Lepidoptera; Pieridae
Exons: 6
Source: RefSeq, a predicted model, not a curated record